AUUGAACGCUGGCGGCAUGCUUUACACAUGCGAGUCGAACGGUAACAGGCCGCAAGGUGCUGACGAGUGGCGAACGGGUGAGUAAUGCAUCGGAACGUGCCCAGUCGUGGGGGAUAACGCAGCGAAAGCUGUGCUAAUACCGCAUACGAUCUGUGGAUGAAAGCGGGGGACCGUAAGGCCUCGCGCGAUUGGAGCGGCCGAUGUCAGAUUAGGUAGUUGGUGGGGUAAAGGCUCACCAAGCCGACGAUCUGUAGCUGGUCUGAGAGGACGACCAGCCACACUGGGACGAAGACACGGCCCAGACUCCUACGGGAGGCAGCAGUGGGGAAUUUUGGACAAUGGGCGCAAGCCUGAUCCAGCAAUGCCGCGUGCAGGAAGAAGGCCUUCGGGUUGUAAACUGCUUUUGUACGGAGCGAAAAGGCUCUCUCUAAUACGGGGGGCUCAUGACGGUACCGUAAGAAUAAGCACCGGCUAACUACGUGCCAGCCGCCGCAUAA
This 497-nucleotide ribosomal RNA is filed under the name uncultured bacterium. RNAcentral describes it as "partial 16S ribosomal RNA". It matches the Rfam family "Bacterial small subunit ribosomal RNA", at positions 29 to 522 of the family's 1533-position model. The record is from RNAcentral.